AUGGAGGCGAGCAAGCUCAAGGCGGCCAGGCUCCUGGAGCAGAUGAGCGCCCACCUCGCCACCGACGCCGGCAAGGAGAUUGCCAACAAGGUCGGCUUCGUCUACCAGCUCAACAUCUCGCCCAAGAAGAUGGGCGUGGACGAGGAGAUCUUCGUCGUGGACCUCAAGAAGGGCGCCGUCUCCACAGGGAAGUACGAGGGGACCCCGGACGCGGCCUUCACCUUCACCGACGACGACUUCCUCGCCAUCGCCAGUGGCAAGCUGAACCCGCAGAUGGCGUUCAUCCGGGGUAAGCUGAAGAUCAAGGGGAGCAUCAGCGCCGCGCAGAAGUUCACGCCGGACAUCUUCCCCAAGCCGUCCAAGUUGUAG
This 369-nucleotide ribosomal RNA is filed under the name Triticum aestivum (bread wheat). RNAcentral describes it as "partial small subunit ribosomal RNA". The record is from RNAcentral. Lineage: Eukaryota; Viridiplantae; Streptophyta; Magnoliopsida; Poales; Poaceae.